This 565-nucleotide long non-coding RNA is filed under the name Onthophagus taurus. RNAcentral describes it as "uncharacterized LOC111428953, transcript variant X2". Lineage: Eukaryota; Metazoa; Arthropoda; Insecta; Coleoptera; Scarabaeidae. The record is from RNAcentral.
UUUUUUUUAAACGUCAAAUUUUAUUUGAUUUUUUUUAUUAAUUCUUUUUUGUUGCAGAGUAUAAAUCAAAUUGGUGUUAUUAUCCAUGUUUAAACAUGAAUUUAAACGAAGAAAAACCGAAUGAAUUACCUUUUUAUUACUAAAGUGUGGGUUACGAUUUAUCAAUCGGAAUGAAACUUGUACUUUCAUUCACGAAAUCAUUAAAAAAACCGAUUGUGGAGAUGUUUUAAGGAUUAGAACUUAAAUUGAUUUAAUUAUGAUCAAAAUAAGAUGUUACAACAACAAAAUUAAGACUAUAAAUAUAAGUGGUGUUAUAAUCCAUGUUUAAACAUGAAUUUAAACGAAGAAAAACCGAAUGAAUUACCUUUUUAUUACUAAAGUGUGGGUUACGAUUUAUCAAUCGGAAUGAAACGUCUUGUACUUUGAUUCACGAAAUCAUUAAAAAAACCGAUUGUGGAGAUGUUUUAAGGAUUAUAACUUAAACUGAUUUAAUUAUGAUCAAAAUACGAUGUUAUAACAACAAAAUUAAGGUAAUUAAGUUAAUAAAUUUAUUAAUUUAAGUUGA